RNAcentral lists this ribosomal RNA (1435 nucleotides) under uncultured organism. Its description in RNAcentral is "SSU rRNA". It matches the Rfam family "Bacterial small subunit ribosomal RNA". The record is from RNAcentral.
UUAACACAUGCAAGUCGAGGGGCAGCAUGGUCUUAGCUUGCUAAGGCCGAUGGCGACCGGCGCACGGGUGAGUAACGCGUAUCCAACCUGCCUUACACUCUUGGACAGCCUUCUGAAAGGGAGAUUAAUACAAGAUGUUAUCAUGAGUAAGCAUUUUCGCAUGAUUAAAGGUUUACCGGUGUAAGAUGGGGAUGCGUUCCAUUAGAUAGUAGGCGGGGUAACGGCCCACCUAGUCUUCGAUGGAUAGGGGUUCUGAGAGGAAGGUCCCCCACAUUGGAACUGAGACACGGUCCAAACUCCUACGGGAGGCAGCAGUGAGGAAUAUUGGUCAAUGGACGAGAGUCUGAACCAGCCAAGUAGCGUGAAGGAUGAAGGUUCUAUGGAUUGUAAACUUCUUUUAUACGGGAAUAAACGAAUCCACGUGUGGAUUUUUGCAUGUACCGUAUGAAUAAGGAUCGGCUAACUCCGUGCCAGCAGCCGCGGUAAUACGGAGGAUCCGAGCGUUAUCCGGAUUUAUUGGGUUUAAAGGGAGCGUAGAUGGGUUGUUAAGUCAGUUGUGAAAGGUUGCGGCUCAACCGUAAAAUUGCAAUUGAUACUGGCAGUCUUGAGUACAGUUGAGGUAGGCGGAAUUCGUGGUGUAGCGGUGAAAUGCUUAGAUAUCACGAAGAACUCCGAUUGCGAAGGCAGCUUACUAACCUGUAACUGACAUUGAUGCUCGAAAGUGUGGGUAUCAAACAGGAUUAGAUACCCUGGUAGUCCACACGGUAAACGAUGAAUACUCGCUGUAGGCGAUAUACAGUCUGCGGCCAAGCGAAAGCAUUAAGUAUUCCACCUGGGGAGUACGCCGGCAACGGUGAAACUCAAAGGAAUUGACGGGGGCCCGCACAAGCGGAGGAACAUGUGGUUUAAUUCGAUGAUACGCGAGGAACCUUACCCGGGCUUAAAUUGCAACCGAAUAUGGCGGAAACGCUAUAGCUAGCAAUAGCGGUUGUGAAGGUGCUGCAUGGUUGUCGUCAGCUCGUGCCGUGAGGUGUCGGCUUAAGUGCCAUAACGAGCGCAACCCUUGCCGAUAGUUACUAACAGGUCAUGCUGAGGACUCUGUCGGGACUGCCAUCGUAAGAUGUGAGGAAGGUGGGGAUGACGUCAAAUCAGCACGGCCCUUACGUCCGGGGCUACACACGUGUUACAAUGGGGGGUACAGAGGGCUGCUACCACGCAAGUGGAUGCCAAUCCCAAAAACCUCUCUCAGUUCGGAUUGAAGUCUGCAACCCGACUUCAUGAAGCUGGAUUCGCUAGUAAUCGCGCAUCAGCCACGGCGCGGUGAAUACGUUCCCGGGCCUUGUACACACCGCCCGUCAAGCCAUGGGAGCCGGGGGUACCUGAAGUGCGUAAACGCAAGGAGCGCCCUAGGGUAAAACUGGUGACUGGGGCUAAA